This 76-nucleotide transfer RNA is filed under the name bacterium. Its description in RNAcentral is "tRNA-Lys". It matches the Rfam family "tRNA". Rfam says of the family: Transfer RNA (tRNA) molecules are approximately 80 nucleotides in length. Their secondary structure includes four short double-helical elements and three loops (D, anti-codon, and T loops). Further hydrogen bonds mediate the characteristic L-shaped molecular structure. tRNAs have two regions of fundamental functional importance: the anti-codon, which is responsible for specific mRNA codon recognition, and the 3' end, to which the tRNAs corresponding amino acid is attached (by aminoacyl-tRNA synthetases). tRNAs cope with the degeneracy of the genetic code in two manners: having more than one tRNA (with a specific anti-codon) for a particular amino acid; and 'wobble' base-pairing, i.e. permitting non-standard base-pairing at the 3rd anti-codon position. The record is from RNAcentral. RNAcentral also lists the same sequence under 1 other name.
GGGCCAUUAGCUCAAUUGGCAGAGCAACUGACUCUUAAUCAGUAGGUUGAAGGUUCGAUUCCUUCAUGGCCCACCA